Molecule: long non-coding RNA, 445 nt
Organism: Balaenoptera musculus (blue whale)
Lineage: Eukaryota; Metazoa; Chordata; Mammalia; Artiodactyla; Balaenopteridae
Exons: 3
Source: RefSeq, a predicted model, not a curated record
CUCACCUGGGAAUAGAUCUCCGGGAGGAACUCGCCUAAGGAGAAGCUCUCACCUGACAGGAAAGUUUUCACCAGCUAGGAUGCAGUGGAAUGGGUGCGAGGACGAUCCUCAGAGACUCUUGGCAUUGCCGGCUCACAGAGAUCUUCGAGCCCCGUGGCCCCUCCUCUGAGGGCCCAGCGGCCAGAAGGGCCGGAGCGCACAAUCCCGGACCAGUUGCAUCCCUGGGUGGACCCAGGCCCCAGCUACGGACACUCUUGCAGCCACGUCCCGGGCCCAAACGCGCCGUACCGGCGCACCUCCUGGGCCGGGGCUCCUCCGCACACAGCCGCCGGGAGGCGGCCCCCGGCUAGCCCUCGGACGGCGCUCGAGCGGCUUUCCGCACAGCCCGCAGGGGCUGGGGUCGCGCCGGCUCCCGCCCCAUCCCUCGCUACGGUUGGGCAGUCGC